Molecule: ribosomal RNA, 989 nt
Filed under: Malassezia obtusa
Lineage: Eukaryota; Fungi; Basidiomycota; Malasseziomycetes; Malasseziales; Malasseziaceae
Description: LSU rRNA
Rfam family: Eukaryotic large subunit ribosomal RNA
Source: RNAcentral
CUACCAAUCCUGCGUGGAGGCUGGUCCGUGCGAGCAGCCUUGUGAACGCAUUCCCUUUUCAUUCUGGUCUCAAAUCAGGUAGGAUCACCCGCCGAACUUAAGCAUAUCAUUAAGCGGAGGAAAAGAACUAACAGGAUUCCCCUAGUAACGGCGAGUGAAGAGGGAAGAGCUCAAAUUUGAAAGCUGGCACCUCCGGUGUCCGCGUUGUAAUCUCGAGACGUGUUUUCCGUGCGGCGCUAUGGACAAGUUCCUUGGAACAGGACAUCGUAGAGGGUGAAAAUCCCGUACUUGCCAUGGACGUACCGUGCUUUGCGAUACACGCUCUAAGAGUCGAGUUGUUUGGGAUUGCAGCUCAAAAUGGGUGGUAGACUCCAUCUAAAGCUAAAUAUCGGGGAGAGACCGAUAGCGAACAAGUACCGUGAGGGAAAGAUGAAAAGCACUUUGGAAAGAGAGUUAAAAGUACGUGAAAUUGUCGAAAGGGAAGCGCUUGAAGUCAGCCAUGCGCUCAGGACUCAGCCUGGCUUCUGCUGGGUGUACUUUCUGGGUUGCAAGUCAGCAUUGGUUCGGAUCGUCGGAGAAGCGUAGAAGGAAUGUGGCGUCUUCGGGCGUGUUAUAGACUUCUACUGGAUACGACGAUCUGGAUCAAGGAACGCAGCGCGCCUUAUGGCGGGUCUUCGGACACCUUCGCGCUUAGGAUGCUUGGCGUAAUGGCUUUAAGUGGCCCCGUCUUGAAACACGGACCAAGGAGUCUAACAUAUGUGCGAGUUUUUGGGUGGGCAAACCCAUAAGCGUAAUGAAAGUGAAUGCAGGUGGGAUCCGCAAGGAGCACCAUCGACCGGCCCUGAUCUUCUGGGAUGGGUCUGAGUAAGAGCAUAUCUGUUGGGACCCGAAAGAUGGUGAACUAUGCCUGAAUAGGGCGAAGCCAGAGGAAACUCUGGUGGAGGCUCGCAGCGGUUCUGACGUGCAAAUCGAUCGUCGAAUUUGGGUAU